AAUAUAUUGCACUAAUAAAUAGUGUAUCAAGAGUGUGCAAUUUUGCUUGAGAUUUGAAAAUCCAAACUUCGAGUCAGUACGGAAAAAUUCGGGCAAAAUCGGAUAGAAUCGGGCGGGAUCGGGUGAUAUCGGAUGACUUCGAUAGUUUUCGGGAUUUUAAUAUUAUUUCAAAUUACAAGCUGGAAUAUACUUUUUGUACAUUGUAAUUUAAUUUUCAACAAUUUGAGGUUAAUUCAUUCGAUUAAUUGAUCGAAAGUUGUGUAUUUUUUUUCGUUUAUUUUCUGUGUAUAAAAAAAUAUAGAUACUCGUUUGACGGAAAUAAUUUCAAGAAAUGAUGAAGAUGACAUUGCAUCUAAUAGUAAUCGAGGUUCCAUUGUGUAAUGACACUUGCUACGAAGCAAGAUAAGUAAGUUCCAAUUGCAUGACAAUGAAGAAUGCUUCAAGACACCGUUGAGCUUCUUGCCGGUACUUAAUACGCUCGAUCGAAGAACGAAUGAAAAUUCCAUGGAAGGGGAUGGGUCUGUCAUUGGCCGAUAGAAUAUUCGCCGAGGUAUUAUUCAAAUUAGAUGGAAUCGACUGUCGUCGACCGCGGGUUAGAACCGUUUGUAAUAGAGCUAGGCCGGAAUUCGAAAUGCCACCGAUAAAAGAUGGGUUUCACCCGCGUUCUGAGAAGAACAUUCCCCUUUGUCGUCGAUACUCGUUCAACGACACGCUCACGUCGACCGAAAAUUUUACGAUAUCUUCAAUCCACCUCUGAACA
Molecule: long non-coding RNA, 760 nt
Filed under: Apis dorsata (giant honeybee)
Lineage: Eukaryota; Metazoa; Arthropoda; Insecta; Hymenoptera; Apidae
Description: uncharacterized LOC116184932, transcript variant X1
Source: RNAcentral